GACGAACGCUGGCGGCGUGCUUAACACAUGCAAGUCGAACGGAAAGGCUCCAGCUUGCUGGAGUACUCGAGUGGCGAACGGGUGAGUAACACGUGGGUAAUCUGCCCUGCACUCUGGGAUAAGCCUGGGAAACUGGGUCUAAUACUUGAUAUGACCUUUCUCCUUAUGGGGUUUGGUGGAAAGUUUUUCGGUGUAGGAUGAGCCCGCGGCCUAUCAGCUUGUUGGUGGGGUGAUGGCCUACCAAGGCGACGACGGGUAGCCGGCCUGAGAGGGUGAUCGGCCACAUUGGGACUGAGAUACGGCCCAGACUCCUACGGGAGGCAGCAGUGGGGAAUAUUGCACAAUGGGCGGAAGCCUGAUGCAGCGACGCCGCGUGAGGGAUGACGGCCUUCGGGUUGUAAACCUCUUUCAGCAGGGACGAAGCGUAAGUGACGGUACCUGCAGAAGAAGCACCGGCUAACUAUGUG
This 467-nucleotide ribosomal RNA is filed under the name uncultured bacterium. RNAcentral's name for it is "partial 16S ribosomal RNA". It matches the Rfam family "Bacterial small subunit ribosomal RNA", at positions 28 to 507 of the family's 1533-position model. The record is from RNAcentral.